RNAcentral lists this ribosomal RNA (174 nucleotides) under Escherichia coli O157:H7 str. K5609. RNAcentral describes it as "partial 16S ribosomal RNA". It matches the Rfam family "Bacterial small subunit ribosomal RNA", at positions 1 to 166 of the family's 1533-position model. The record is from RNAcentral. Lineage: Bacteria; Pseudomonadati; Pseudomonadota; Gammaproteobacteria; Enterobacterales; Enterobacteriaceae.
UUAAAUUGAAGAGUUUGAUCAUGGCUCAGAUUGAACGCUGGCGGCAGGCCUAACACAUGCAAGUCGAACGGUAACAGGAAGAAGCUUGCUUCUUUGCUGACGAGUGGCGGACGGGUGAGUAAUGUCUGGGAAACUGCCUGAUGGAGAGGGAUAACUACUGGAAACGGUAGCUAA